GGGGGGGGGGGGGGCACGCGUAUACGGGAGCUUACCGCGUUUAAGUGAGAAAGUUGUUGCAAAACUUCAAAGAUGGCGUCGUUUAAGUGUUUUUCGUGAAGGAGUGGCGGAUGUUUUCACCCGAUAUCUAGACGCCAGUUAUAUAUGUUGAGGAUGCCGUUAUUAAAAAAGACGGCGUAACGAAGUGUGUACCGCUCUAGAAUGCCAUAGGUACAUAAAAACCCACCAAUCAAACAAAAAGGAUUACGUCGAAGGACCUUGCCAAACAAUCACAUGCAAUAAAAGUGUAAUGAAAAACAGAAGAGGGUAAAGCCGGUUUGAUACUAGUAUAAGGUUGAUGUAACCAAAUACUGCCAUUGUUGCGAUUCGGAAUACAUGAAGCAAUUUGGAAUACCUGAAAUCUGCUUAGAAGAUGCAUAUCGGUGGAUGUUUUUAUAUGAUACUUAAAUAUGAAUUGUUUAUUUAAUACAAUGACAUUUGAUGCGUUUUACCAUAACGAUACUGAUACAUGUAUGUGACUUUGAUGUGACACAUUUUGGACGACUUUCUUUUAAACCAGUUUUGAGUUGGUCACUAAAUUAUAAUCGCAAAAAGUGAAUUUGUAGUGGAUAGAAAGAUUUGUGCAAAUGCAAUACACGAUAUGAUUUCAGUAGAAGUGAUCAAUAUAAUUUUUAUACAUGUAUGUUUUUUCUCUUUUAAACCUAUGUGAAUACAUAUUAUUUAUGACUGUUGUAUUGAGGGAAUAAAGUAUUGGUUCACUUAGAAAGAUUAGAAAAAAAACGAGGGAAGCACACACACCGGAGAGCCGAAACGGCGUAUUCAUUUAAAUAAUCAUAAAUACAAAGGGGCUUACCGGGUGAAAAUAUCCUCCCUUCCUUUAAGAAAAUCCAACAAACGACGCCAUCUUUGAAGUUUUGCAACAACUUUCUCACUUAAACGCGGUAAGCUCCUGUAUACGCGUGCCCCCCUGUCUAUCAUGCUUUUAUUUUGGAUCUGACAAAUAAAAUACUUAAAUGUAUUUUAUAAAGAGGGAAUAUCGGCAGUCACGCGUUUUUCAGAUGUUUAUCCCAUACAACGUGGCUGCUGACAAGGAGAUCCGCUCAGCUGUUAUAUGUUCAUACUUUGCGCUAAAAUAUUGUUUAUUAAAUUAAGGUCAAAUACUAAGAUUAAGGAAAUUAAAAUUAAUGACGUGAAAUACAAAUUGUCACAGUUUGCUGACGACACUUCUAUACUCCUGGAUGGCUCUGCAGUAUCUCUCAAUGAAACUUAAGAUUUGUUAUCAUGAUUUUUAAAGUGCUCACGGUUAACAGUUGGUUUCGACAAAACAAAAGUAGUUUGGAUAGAUACAAAUAUGUUUAGCUCCGAAAACAUUAAGACAAGAUGGAAAUAAAUUGGAACAGACACAAAAAAUACGUGCUUGGCUAAACAUUUCAAGUUAAUCUUUUUAAAACAAUAUAGAAAUAAAUUGUGUUGACAAAAUAGUUAAAUUAAAAGUCUUACUAAAACAACAUAAGAAUUAGCGGUGUUAAAUCAUCCCUUUGUUUUAUUGCCUUGUCCACCACCUAAUUUGUUAGCAGACAUAAAUUUGCUAUGGUUUAAUUUUGUGUGGAAUGUUUAACCAAAAAUUAGCAAAAUAUUGCAAUAAAAUAAUAUACAAAAGGUGGUCUAAAGAUGAUUGAUCUGUUUGCUUUUGUAACAUCUCUGAAGAGCUCAUGGAUCCCUUCAAUUGUCACUGGAAAUGGAAAAUGGAAAAAUAUUUGUAAUGCUAUGGUUGAUUUUCAGAAAUCAUACAACUGCGGGAGUCACUAUCCUGAAAACCUAAUUUACAAGAUACACAAUGAAUUAUGGAAUGAUACAUUGAAAUCCUAAGUUGAACUUAAUAAAAAAGAACCAUUUAAAAAUUCAGCUUUGGCUUCAGCAUCAAAUAUUCUAUAACCUCGACAUAACAAUUGGUAGCAAAAGUGUGUAUUUAAAGUGAUAUUAUGGGUAUUUCUUACUGUUGAAUUGAGCUGAAAUGAAUUAACAGGUCAAAAGAGUUAGUUAAAAUGUGGUUACUGACCAAUUAUUUGCAACUCAUCAUGCUACCAGUUGGUUAUAAAAAUAUAUUUUAUAUUCGAUAUUCUUACGUGACUCACCCAGUCCUGUAAAUCGAAAUGAUCCGUAAAACAAAAUUGUGUCUUUGUGUCGUAUGAACGAAUCUGCACUAAAACUUAAUUUAGGUUCACAUCGUGCAUUCAUGAUCAGUUGUCAAACGAAAGUACGGUUGAUAUUCAGAUGCAUUAUUUUUCUCUUUCCGGGAUAUUGUUUUAGUAUUUUGAUGCUGCAUUAACAAAUAUAAGUGUAUAUGAAGUAAAAACACCAAAAAUAAACAACGGUUGCGACAGACACCUAUAAACUGCUAGAUGCCCAUAAUAUCACUUUAAAUCAUUGUUUGAAAAGGACAUUCAUUUUUGUUGGGGAUUUGAUGCACAGCACUGAAUGUUUAACCUUUUACAGUAAUGAAUAGUUUUGCAAAGUAUAUAAAUCCAUUCAAACUACAUAUUUUUGCUAUGAAUUAUUAACGCAGUAAAAAAUACAUGACUUUCAGAAGCUCAUAUGACACAAGCUUUAUGAAGCCAUGCAUCCCCAUUAGCCUACGACCUGUCUUGGUAGACAAAACGUACACAACAAAAUGAAAUAAUUUCCAAAAACGAGACUUCACGAGGUAUAGAUAAAUGGUUGAACAUUUUUAAUAAUAUUGAAAAAAAAAAGGCAACAUUUUUGUAGAUGCCGUUUCAUAUAACACAC
Molecule: long non-coding RNA, 2787 nt
Organism: Dreissena polymorpha
Lineage: Eukaryota; Metazoa; Mollusca; Bivalvia; Myida; Dreissenidae
Exons: 2
Source: RefSeq, a predicted model, not a curated record